RNAcentral lists this ribosomal RNA (283 nucleotides) under uncultured bacterium. Its description in RNAcentral is "partial 16S ribosomal RNA". It matches the Rfam family "Bacterial small subunit ribosomal RNA", at positions 1092 to 1397 of the family's 1533-position model. The record is from RNAcentral.
ACGAGCGCAACCCACGUCUUUAGUUACCAGUAUUUAGUUAGUGGACUUUAAAGAAACUGCCAAUGAUAAGUUGGAGGAAGGUGUGGAUGACGUCAAGUCCUCAUGGCCCUUACGGGUUGGGCUACACACGUGCUACAAUGGCAACAACAAUGGGCUAAUCCCCAAAUGUUGUCUCAGUUCGGAUUGUCCUCUGCAACUCGAGGACAUGAAGUCGGAAUCGCUAGUAAUCGCGUAACAGCAUGACGCGGUGAAUACGUUCCCGGGCCUUGCACACACCGCCCGU